RNAcentral lists this unclassified non-coding RNA (2568 nucleotides) under Daphnia pulicaria. RNAcentral's name for it is "uncharacterized LOC124340960, transcript variant X2". Lineage: Eukaryota; Metazoa; Arthropoda; Branchiopoda; Diplostraca; Daphniidae. The record is from RNAcentral.
AGUCUGUGGUGCGAGUGCGACACGCGACAGUGGAGUUUCGAUUUGGUUGGAAACAAAGAUGGAGACACAUUUUGACAGUCUUCCUGUUGACAUACUGCUUCACCUUUUCAACUACAUGAAUGAAAAAGACUGUUUAACCUUUUCGAUCUCAGGGGUGUCUGACAGAUUUUCAUGUCUAUGGGGAGAAAGAAGAAACCUUUCAAUCCAGCAGUGUUUUUUUGUCACCCAUAAUUCAUUACACACGUAUCUAAGUAGAUGGGUUUGCCCAAAAAUAAUUUCAAGUCUCGAUAUAAGCCACUGUUAUUGGCUGCCAAGUGACUUUUUAUUUGACGUUGUAACUUCAAUGAGUCACUUGGUAGCAUUAAAAAUUCAAGAUACCAAGCUUAACAUGUCACAUCUUUGGCAGAUAUUUAAAAGCUGUCAUCAUAUUGCAAAACUUAGUAUUAGCUUGUCAGAGAACGAUGAACCUAUUUUUGAUCAAAUGAAAGAGUCUGAAUCAUCAUCUCUUCAAACAUUAUCAAAUGGUUUCUCAAAACUGACUCACUUAAAAAUCCUUGCAUUCAAUGGUGCUUAUUAUAUAGACUCUUGGCCUUUAAUCCUGCAGCUAUUAAGUUAUUGCCGAAAAUGUGUGGAUUUGCACCUGGAAAUUGCCUAUAGUGAUUAUGAAUACUUCAUGCAUGGGCCAUUCGGGAAAUGUAAUUAUGAUUAUGCAUUCGUCGAUCGUGCUCGAGACGAAUUUUUUCCAAACUUGAGCUGGAUGGCAUUAUUGAAAAAUUUUGUGAUUUUGAAAAGGGGCGGUUUAUAUACUGAAACUAUAGUAGACGAAUGCGUCGAGGGGCUGGUCAAAUGGGUAUUUUCCUAUUAUGACAUGAACUGUGUUGAGCGCGUUUGGAUAAAAAUUGAAGAUUGUGGAAUCCCGUGUGAUAUGAUCCCUUCAGAAUGUCAACUAAAAUCACUUGUAUGCUAUGUUCAUGGUGAUGAACUGUCAAGUUUUGACGGGGAUGUCGAUGGGCGAUUUGCUAAGUUGGAACACAUCGGCGGUAUGAUUGCGCUACAACACUGGACCGGGUUGCCUAACCUUCGCUACAUUCAUGGCUUUGGCCACAGUGCACAAGAAGUUGACGAAAUGUGUAGAGCACAUCCCAGGUUAGAGUUUUUGCAUUUGGAUGACAGCUAUGUAGAAUAUCCUUUUUGUAUGAAAGCUGACUGGGUGUUGCAUCAUUUAAAGACAUUCGUUUACGUUUGCCUGUAUCCAAUGAAAGAGAUUCUAGAACCAUUUCUGAAAGCCGCUCCUAAUCUUGAAGUGCUUGGUAUUGGUCUUUCGAAUAACACUGCUUUUGGUCCUAAUCCUAGUCCUUACGAUGAACCUCUUGAUUUUUUGAAAAUGAUAUCACGUUGUGGUCGGUUGACUACCAUAACCCUAAACCAGUUUUGUUUGUUCGAAGGAGAUUUAUUUGCGAUAUUCAGUGGCUGCCCAUUACUUCGAAAUCUUCAUAUUUGCGGUGGUCUUACUUGCCCCGAAUCAUUCGACAAUCUUUGUCGGUACUUACCUCUGGCUAAAAAGUUGCGAGAUUUUAGAUUGCAGUACGACUCCAGGUGCGAAGGAGAAAACUCGAAUCGGGCCGUACUGAAUGCUCUUCUCGAUUCUAAAAGACUGGAAAGAAUUGUUCUCUACGAGGAGGACGGCGAGGAGGACGACUCUAAAUUUCCGUGGAAAAGUCAGGAACUUCAAGACGUUCUAUUCAAAUUUGUAAGCAGUAUGCCAGAUCUCGUCUGUUUCUUUUUCUUCACGGCAUCAGAAAUAGAACCAGGAACGGUGGCCAAACUGAAACAGAAAUUUGACGAGUUUAUUAUCCCAAUUCGACCGGCCUUUUGGUGCCAUGUUGAUAGAACCCUUCCCAGAGCAAUGGAUCCCACAGUCCCUCGAAUUCAUUAUGACCAGAUUGUAUGCCCUAUGGAAUACUUGGCUCCCGAAUUUUGAUCGUAUGCUUCAAAUGUACUUAGGUUUUUCAAAUUAUUCAGGUAAAUUUGCGCAUGUUAAUAAUUUGUAUUUUGUGUGGCAACCCCGAUUUUUUGUUUUGUUUUGUUUUUCUUGUUUUGUUUGUUUAGUUGGCUCGUUUAUUGCAGUCACUCAGUUACAACAGAAUACAACAUAGUGUGAAAUAGUCAAAACGCUUUUAGUAAAGAGUGUAAAGACCUACUGUAUGCUUCACUUAAAGGAAAACUGCAACUUUUACCUAUACAUUUGAGAUGAAUAAUGCUACCUAAUUUUGCUUAUAGCCAACCAACAAUACUUUAAAUAUUAUAUAUGUACAGGAUCAUGUCGCUUUGAUGAAAUUAGACAAGAUGACAUUUCAGUCCAAGGUUUAAUCACCACUAUGCAAAAGUAUCUUAAAGAAUAUUAUCAGAUAAGGAUUGUGAAGCUGUUUCAAUUUAGUCUCAUGGAAAGAAGACACUUCACAAGGAUUUCAACCGUUAUCACCUUAGUAAUGAUAAACAGCAUCCAGUUUGAUUGGAGAAACCGCCUAUGUAAUUUGAGUUACGGUUUUACGGAUCUCUUGUUCCUCC